UUUUAAGAACAAAAUUUAAAUGAAUAUUGAGUAUGAUAAAAUUUGGUUGUGAAAUUAUAUAGAGAUUAAUGUCAUUAUAAUUUACACCGAAAUGUAAAAAUGAUUAUAAAGAGAUAAUUACUAUGAUUCAAAGGUGGAAAACAUUAGCAAUGUAAUCAGAAACUAAUUUACAUCAUCUAUUUAUAGUUUAUAAUCUCCUGAGAACGAUAAAUAUUCAUAUUGGAAACUUUUUGCGUUUUUUUUUCUAAAGAAAAAGAUUUUUUUAUUAUUUUUCAAGAAAAACGCAAGAUGCAACCAAGUAUACACCUUAAAAAAGUGUAAUAUUUUAGUAUAUAACCUAAAAAUUGUUUUAAUGAUGUUAUUUUAAUAUGUAAUUAUCUAUUUAUAAUGAUUUUGGCGAUAAAUUUCGCUGAAAAUUAUAAACGCAUUAAAAAAAAUCGCAAAAUUUGUUUUUUUUCGCUUAAAUUUUGGUAAUAUUAAACAAAAUAUUGCAGAAGAUGAUUGUGAUGAAUGAAUUCAGAAUGUCGGCCUUUUUAAUAUGGCCUAUAUUAUCAUUGGUGCUAAUUACAAAUGGCGCUGAGUUUGCACAAAAAGAUUACAACAUAGUAAGUGAUCGUCUUGUCGUAGAUAAAGAAUACAAAGAAUGGGCGGAUAUUACCUCGACAAAUACGAAAUAUAAUCGUACUCAACGCACGUUUUCGUUGACUUUAAACAUUCACAAGGCGCCACAUCCAAGCAAAGUUAUGGCGCGUGUGCAAGCAUAUCGAUUCACAAGCAAUGUUUAUAAACUUUUCGCACCGAUAAAGUUUACAAUCAAUGCUUGUGAUGCCCUGAGGAAGAAUACUUUCGGCGUUGGUGAAUUCCGAGAUAAAAUCGGUAACUUUACUGAUUGUCCAUUUAAACCAGGCGUGUUUGCCAUCCAUGAUUAUAUUCCUGAUGAAGAUAAAAUGCCGCCGUUUGUGCCUGAAGGGAAAUAUCGUAUUGCGCUGGAAUUACUUUCGGAUAAAGAACCACUUGGGGCUAUAUCCUGGUAUGGAGCAAUUGUCAAAAAGAAGAAAUUCUAAUAUUGGUAUUAAAAACAACAUAACCACACACAAACACAAAAAAUGACAGGAAAAUUAUAGGUUAUGUUAGUGUAUAAUAGUAUUUUUAGUAAUACUACAUAUUUUAGUACUUAUUAGAUAGAUUAGAUGAUGAAUAUUAUGAUGAAUAUGGUUGUAUCACUUUGGCAAUCUUUUUCACUCCGUAUUUGUACCAGAGUUUUUCGCCGAUUAUCCACAUUAAAGCAAGAAUAAAUCCUGUAACAGCAAAUUAAUCAGUUUAUGUUAUAUAGGCAACCCAAAAUGCUUGCAAUACCAAAAAAUAAAACAAAGAAACUUCCUUGCA
Dalotia coriaria is the source of this 1386-nucleotide long non-coding RNA. RefSeq lists it as uncharacterized. The record is from RefSeq and is a predicted model, not a curated record. Lineage: Eukaryota; Metazoa; Arthropoda; Insecta; Coleoptera; Staphylinidae. The transcript has 2 exons.